CCUACGGGAGGCAGCAGUGGGGAAUAUUGCACAAUGGGCGAAAGCCUGAUGCAGCAACGCCGCGUGAGUGAUGACGGUCUUCGGAUUGUAAAGCUCUGUCUUUUGGGACGAUAAUGACGGUACCAAAGGAGGAAGCCACGGCUAACUACGUGCCAGCAGCCGCGGUAAUACGUAGGUGGCAAGCGUUGUCCGGAUUUACUGGGCGUAAAGGAUGUGUAGGCGGAUACUUAAGUGAGAUGUGAAAGCCCCGGGCUCAACCUGGGGACUGCAUUUCAAACUGGGUAUCUAGAGUGCAGGAGAGGAAAGCGGAAUUCCUAGUGUAGCGGUGAAAUGCGUAGAGAUUAGGAAGAACAUCAGUGGCGAAGGCGGCUUUCUGGACUGUAACUGACGCUGAGGCAUGAAAGCGUGGGGAGCAAACAGGAUUAGAUACCCUGGUAGUCCACGCCGUAAACGUUACUACUAGGUGUAGGAGGUAUCGACUCCUUCUGUGCCGCAGUUAACACAAUAAGUACUCCCGCCUGGGAAGUACGGUCGCAAGAUUAAAACUCAAAUGAAUUGACGGAU
RNAcentral lists this ribosomal RNA (564 nucleotides) under uncultured bacterium. Its description in RNAcentral is "bacterial SSU rRNA". It matches the Rfam family "Bacterial small subunit ribosomal RNA", at positions 338 to 918 of the family's 1533-position model. The record is from RNAcentral.